RNAcentral lists this unclassified non-coding RNA (209 nucleotides) under Hevea brasiliensis (rubber tree). The record is from RNAcentral. Lineage: Eukaryota; Viridiplantae; Streptophyta; Magnoliopsida; Malpighiales; Euphorbiaceae.
AAUAGGUCCAUUUUCAUCGAUGCAAGCGGAUUUCAUCAUCAACUUGGGCCAAAAAUCACAAGUACCGAUCAUCUCUUUCUCUGCGACGAGUCCAUCAAUUUCAUCAGCCCGGAAUCAGUAUUUUGUUCGUACAACUCAUAACGAUUCAUCUCAAGUGAAACCUAUCAGUUCAAUAAUCCAAUCAUUCGGAUGGCGACAAAUUGUACCAA